AGAUUACAGGGAAGCUAUUUGCAUGGAAUCAAAAUAAAAAGAGUCAAAUAGGAAAAAAGAGGACGAUUAAAAAUGUUUCUUUAAAAAAGAAGCUGUUAAAUUCAUAUGGAGGAAAACUUACUUAUUCUCAUAAUAAACAUAGACAGAAAAAAAUGUUCAAAAGAAAUAGCAAGUUCUCUGGAGAAGAUAUAUAUCAUGAAAGUGGUGUAGUGGCCCUCUCAAAUAUAGAUGUGUAUCAGAAAACGGACUAUAAGCAGUUAUUUAUGUUCAACAAUGUUUUACCCGGAAAAUGCAUCCAUUUAACAACAUUACCUCCAGGUAUAUUUACAACUGUCGGU
Ruditapes philippinarum (Manila clam) is the source of this 338-nucleotide long non-coding RNA. RefSeq lists it as uncharacterized. The transcript is spliced from 6 exons. The record is from RefSeq and is a predicted model, not a curated record. Lineage: Eukaryota; Metazoa; Mollusca; Bivalvia; Venerida; Veneridae.